Mycena olivaceomarginata is the source of this 90-nucleotide non-coding RNA. The record is from the annotation of a GenBank genome assembly. NCBI's taxonomy places the organism in Eukaryota, Fungi, Basidiomycota, Agaricomycetes, Agaricales, Mycenaceae.
GCACUGGUUGUGUAUGGUACACCCGCUGGUUCAUUUAACCGUCAUCCAGAGUGGCUGCGGCGGAUCGGGGUUCGAUUCCCCGCCAGUGCA